Long non-coding RNA from Talpa occidentalis (Iberian mole), 4160 nucleotides. RefSeq lists it as uncharacterized. The transcript has 5 exons. The record is from RefSeq and is a predicted model, not a curated record. NCBI's taxonomy places the organism in Eukaryota, Metazoa, Chordata, Mammalia, Eulipotyphla, Talpidae.
CGGGCGCUCUUGGGGGGUCCCGACGUAGCCGCGGGCGGAGAAGCGCUGCAGGACGGAGCUUAAUCUUGCAUUAAACAUUUGCAUUGAAACAACUCUUUUUGCUUCCAUUUCCUUCCACGUUGUCAAAAAUGGCAAAUUUUUUGGGCCUCCCUGGUGGUGAAGGUGUGAAAAUCUCAGCGCUAUCAAGCUAUCGCCAGUCACUGCAGCACGAGUUUGAUCCCCGGCCAGAGUUGACCCACCCAAGAAAAUGGACACAACUGAUUUCCACAAAAACACCCUCACAUCUGUUGGAAUGGAUCUUAUCUAAAAGACAAGAAAUAACUCCUUACUUUAAGGCUCAAGAGGGGCACUGCCUAACCCAGAACAGCCUCUGGUGAUAGCAGAGGGCCCAACAGGACUUGAAUCCACUUCAACCAUCAUCUGAGUCACCAGCUCUUCUGAAGCAGCAGUGAGGUUGUUGACUAUGGAAAAAAGUCUUAUAUCAAGUUGAGACCUUUCUCCUACCCUGCUCCUUGGACAUGAAGGCACCAUCCAAAUUCUUCCUAGAGCUACCUUAAGGCUUGGUGUGAGGGGACACGAGGCAUCCAGCAGAGACCAAUAAAGACAGCCCUCUUCCCAGCAACAUCUCAGACUAUGGGACAGAAUGAUUUCUCACCUGAUAGGACUCCACAUUCUUCAGUGGACAAGAUGGGAAGUCAAAUGGAGGUUGAUAACCUCAAGGCAGAGAGGCCUGAAUUUCCAAAGCUGAACCUGGAAAGAAACAUCUAGGGCAAAACAGUUGACUUGAUGGCUCACUGGCUCCCAGAUAUCAAUCUAUCCUGGAACCGAAAGGCAGUUCUCCACUUGGGAAGACAAUGGAGUACUUUGGAACAAGUCUCGUUAUAUAGGGUUUCUUCCAUGGAAUGUGGUUAAGUUUCAAAAAUAUGUGCAUAAUAAAGUUGUUAUGAAGGAGACAUCACAAGAAGAAAUACCAGAGAGGUCAAGGAUAAUUAGGAAAGUCCAAAAGAGGACUCUACAGUAUUCUGGAGUAUAGGCUUUUGCAUCAUAAGACAUAGGUUCAAAAAGGGAAUCUACCAGUUGGCCAUUCUUAGCCAACUUCUUUUUUUAAAAGAUUUAUUUAUUUAUUUGUUUGUUUAUGCAUACAAGAGCUGAGGUAUAGGCCCGAGGUGUGGGGGGUGAGAGAAUCCAUCAGAGACAGAAUGGGGAGCAAAACAGGCAGAUGUACUGAAAUGCACUGCUGAGGGGAGCAGUGGGCGAGACAGGAGAGGUCUGCUGAGCCAUAUGGGUUAACUCCCUGGCCAGGGAUCAAACUCAUGCUGACAGCUUGGUAGUGCUGAGACUUAACCCUUUGUGCCACCAAGGAGGCCCUCUUAGCCAACUUCUAAAGUUGGUUUGAUAACCUAUCUUUGAAAUGUAAUAAAAGCAAUACUAACACUAGUGAUGGUGUGAUUAGUACAUCAAUUGAAAGCAAUUAGAACAGUUCUAGUUUUGGCUAUUUCUAAAAUGAGCUGACUUUAGAAGAAUAUGGUGAUUUUCAAAGGUCAUUUCUAUAUGGUUGAUUGCAUCGGCCUUGUUUGAAAAUCAGAUGUGUAGACAUGGUCACAUCCAAGUGAUGUGACUAGAGAGGCACCUUAGUUGACCCUGACAUAGGCAUUCUGUAAACUCUUCUGCCUCCCUCACAACUGUGCUGAUCCAGCAUUUAAACAUAAAAAAUUCUUAAUAAGAGUUCUUGAUGUGGCCUCCCUGGUGGCGCAAGGGGUUAAGCACAGCACUGUGAAGCUAUCCGCAGCUUCUGCAGCACUUAGAUCCACGACCAACCAGGGGGGUGACCCACAUGGCGUGGCAGACCUCUCCUGUCUCACCCUCUGCUCCCCUCAGCAGUGUACUUCAGUCAAUCAGCCUGGUCUGCUCCCCACUCUGUCUCUGGUGAAUCCUCUCACCCCCCCACACCUCUGGCGUAGACCCCAGUUCUUGUAUGUAAAAGAGGUUUUUUUUUUUUAAGAUUUAUUUUAUUUAUUCAUACAAGCACUGAGUACAGUCAGAAGCACGGGAGGGUGAGUGAAUUCACCAGAGCCAUAGUGGGGAACAGAACAGGCAGAAUGACGAAGUACACUGCUGAGGGGAGCAGCGGGUGGCAUGAGAGGUCUGCGCACCAUGUGGAAUCCUUGCCUGGCAGCCAGGGAUUGAACCAGCACUGCAGAGGCUGCGGGCAGCUUCGCAACCCAGUGCUCAACCACUGCGCCACAGGGGAGGCCCUGUAAAAGAGUUCUUGAUCUUCAUAGGAGUAGUCACCAUGGGGCACUGAAAAAAAUCUCAUUUUUGUAUCUCACUGAAAUAUCAUUGAUACAGAUCAUGAGAUAGACUCUACAGAGCAGGGCCUCCCUGGUGGUAUAGGGGUUAAGUCUCAGCACUAUCAUGCAGUCACCGCUGUAGCCUGAGUUCGAUUCCCCGCCAGGGAGCUAACCUAAAUAUGGUAGCGCAAAAGACCUCGCCUGUCUAGCCAGCUGCUCCCCUCAGUAGUGUAUCUCAGUAAACCUGCCUGUUCUGCUCCCCACUCUUUCUCAAGUGAACCCUCUCACCCACCCCCCCAUACCUCUGGCCUACAUCCCAGUUGUUCUAUGCAUAAAUAAAAAAAUUCUACAGAGCAGAGAUUCUGGGGCCCAAGGGAUAUGAAAAAAGAAGGGAUAUUAGAAUUUGUUUCCUAAGCAUUAAAAGUGAGUUAAUACACACCUGGAAGAGUGUCUAUAACUUACUAAAUGCAGGGUUGAUGUUCACUAUUGUUAUCAAAAACCAUUAUAAAAAAGGUUAUUGCAUAAAAUGGACUGCUGUAUGGAAUAGAGCAAAUAAGAGAUGACCAACAGGCAUUUAAAUAAGGAAUAGCUGUACUUGGUAGAACAGUACUGGAAAAAAUAGUUUUAAAAGGGUAAAAUCACCUUGUAACAAUUAAAAGUGUAUCAUUUAGUGAAAGCACUAAACAGAGCCAUCUUACCAUCAGGCUAAAAAAGGAAAGCAACAAGUGGUGAGUGACAGCAGAGCACAGGAUGAAUGCUUGUCAAAGGGGAGUGUGAAUUAGUGUGGAGAUCUGUGAGGCUAUAUUAUGAACAAUAUCUGUUUCUUAAAUGUGGGUCUAAUUACUUUAUUCUUGUCUUUGGCCAUAAGAAGUUGCUAAUUAUGAGAUACAAAACAAGAAAAAAAAAAACAAGUUCAGAAAUAUCCAGGGAGAUACACUGAUACAUUGUAUUGCUCAUAUUUAAGUUUUGUUGAAAAACAAAAAACUAAAAAUAAUCCUAAUGUUUGAAAAAAGAGGUAAAUAUUGCAAAAAGAAAAGCAUGGUCCAAAUGAGAGAUUUAUAUGCAUCCAUAUUUGUUGCAUUGGCAACACCAAACUGAUAAAAAAAAAACCAGGAGUCAUGGAGCAGGCUACACAAUGCAGGAUGCUGCUGAACAAGCAAGAUUCUGACUUUUUUAUUGAUAGAAUAUCAUACAGCAUCAAGUAUGUAGGGUAGGAGAAAAGAGAGAAAAAGAGUGGUGAAACUGAACAUGUGCUUCUCUCUUCUAGGGCUUUAAGAGGACAUGAGUCUGCUGACCAGGUAUUUUAUCUGCUUGAUGACCCGGUGUUAUAAUUGAAACCAUACCCCAGGCCCCAAGCCAUGGUUCUAAACUUAUCAACAAGGCAUUCCACUGAUCAGUCUCUGGGGCACAUGGUUACACAUCAGUCAACACGCCCUCCACCCUCGAGUUCCUGGUGAUACUUACUGAUAUAUGCCCAUUACCCCAGGGUGAUCAAGCAUCCUGCUCUCACUUACUUUGAAAGGAGCCUUGUGGGGUCUGGUAUAUUACAUUCUUUUAGGUCAUAUAACUGACUAAGCUGUUCUGAUCUUGUAUUGGAGGGCAGACUGCACUUAAACAAAAUGGUGGCCAAGCAGGCUGUUUAAGUCUAGACUCCCACAUAUUUAAAGGUAGGAAAAUGUUUCUGUUAAGAGCCAUCUAAAAAUGUUAUUAAUGUAAUCAUACUAGAGAGAAAUGUACCAAAAAUCUGAGUGAUUCUGCAUAUUUUUAAAAUUUUGCUGUUUUUAUUUCAAAAAUUGUUUAGAAUGAAUACCUAUGCUUGUAUAAUUUUUUUAAUACACUGUAUUAUGGGGGCAAGAAAACAAUUCUUUG